CGGCAGGCCUAACACAUGCAAGUCGAACGGUAACAGAAAGCAGCUUGCUGCUUUGCUGACGAGUGGCGGACGGGUGAGUAAUGUCUGGGAAACUGCCCGAUGGAGGGGGAUAACUACUGGAAACGGUAGCUAAUACCGCAUAACGUCGCAAGACCAAAGAGGGGGACCUUCGGGCCUCUUGCCAUCGGAUGUGCCCAGAUGGGAUUAGCUAGUAGGUGGGGUAAAGGCUCACCUAGGCGACGAUCCCUAGCUGGUCUGAGAGGAUGGCCAGCCACACUGGAACUGAGACACGGUCCAGACUCCUACGGGAGGCAGCAGUGGGGAAUAUUGCACAAUGGGCGCAAGCCUGAUGCAGCCAUGCCGCGUGUAUGAAGAAGGCCUUCGGGUUGUAAAGUACUUUCAGCGGGGAGGAAGGGAGUAAAGUUAAUACCUUUGCUCAUUGACGUUACCCGCAGAAGAAGCACCGGCUAACUCCGUGCCAGCAGCCGCGGUAAUACGGAGGGUGCAAGCGUUAAUCGGAAUUACUGGGCGUAAAGCGCACGCAGGCGGUUUGUUAAGUCAGAUGUGAAAUCCCCGGGCUCAACCUGGGAACUGCAUCUGAUACUGGCAAGCUUGAGUCUCGUAGAGGGGGGUAGAAUUCCAGGUGUAGCGGUGAAAUGCGUAGAGAUCUGGAGGAAUACCGGUGGCGAAGGCGGCCCCCUGGACGAAGACUGACGCUCAGGUGCGAAAGCGUGGGGAACAAACAGGAUUAGAUACCCUGGUAGUCCACGCCGUAAACGAUGUCGACUUGGAGGUUGUGCCCUUGAGGCGUGGCUUCCGGAGCUAACGCGUUAAGUCGACCGCCUGGGGAGUACGGCCGCAAGGUUAAAACUCAAAUGAAUUGACGGGGGCCCGCACAAGCGGUGGAGCAUGUGGUUUAAUUCGAUGCAACGCGAAGAACCUUACCUGGUCUUGACAUCCACGGAAGUUUUCAGAGAUGAGAAUGUGCCUUCGGGAACCGUGAGACAGGUGCUGCAUGGCUGUCGUCAGCUCGUGUUGUGAAAUGUUGGGUUAAGUCCCGCAACGAGCGCAACCCUUAUCCUUUGUUGCCAGCGGUCCGGCCGGGAACUCAAAGGAGACUGCCAGUGAUAAACUGGAGGAAGGUGGGGAUGACGUCAAGUCAUCAUGGCCCUUACGACCAGGGCUACACACGUGCUACAAUGGCGCAUACAAAGAGAAGCGACCUCGCGAGAGCAAGCGGACCUCAUAAAGUGCGUCGUAGUCCGGAUUGGAGUCUGCAACUCGACUCCAUGAAGUCGGAAUCGCUAGUAAUCGUGGAUCAGAAUGCCACGGUGAAUACGUUCCCGGGCCUUGUACACACCGCCCGUCACACCAUGGGAGUGGGUUGCAAAAGAAGUAGGUAGCUUAACCUUCGGGAGGGCGCUUACCACUUUGUGAUUCAUGACUGGGG
This 1450-nucleotide ribosomal RNA is filed under the name uncultured organism. Its description in RNAcentral is "16S ribosomal RNA". It matches the Rfam family "Bacterial small subunit ribosomal RNA". The record is from RNAcentral.